RNAcentral lists this ribosomal RNA (443 nucleotides) under uncultured bacterium. RNAcentral describes it as "partial 16S ribosomal RNA". It matches the Rfam family "Bacterial small subunit ribosomal RNA", at positions 338 to 795 of the family's 1533-position model. The record is from RNAcentral.
CCUACGGGUGGCAGCAGUGAGGAAUAUUGGGCAAUGGAGGCAACUCUGACCCAGCAAUGCCGCGUGAAUGAUGACGGUCUUCGGAUUGUAAAGUUCUGUGAUUAGGGAUGAACACAAUGACGGUACCCCGAUAGCAAGCCACGGCUAACUACGUGCCAGCAGCCGCGGUAAUACGUAGGUGGCAAGCGUUAUCCGGAAUGACUGGGCGUAAAGGUUGCGUAGGUGGUUUGGUAAGUUGGCGGUGUAAUUCCGGGGCUCAACCUCGGCGCUACCGCCAAAACUAUUAGACUAGAGUGCGGGAGGGGUAAGUGGAAUGUGUAGUGUAGCGGUGGAAUGCGUAGAUAGUAGGCGGAACAUCAGGGGCGAAGGCGACUUACUGGACUGUAACUGACACUGAGGCACGAAAGCGUGGGGAGCAAACAGGAUUAGAUACCCGGGUAGUC